UAGGGAAUCUUCCACAAUGGGCGAAAGCCUGACGGAGCAAUGCCGCGUGGAGGUGGAAGGCCUACGGGUCGUCAACUUCUUUUCUCGGAGAAGAAACAAUGACGGUAUCUGAGGAAUAAGCAUCGGCUAACUCUGUGCCGG
This 141-nucleotide ribosomal RNA is filed under the name uncultured bacterium. Its description in RNAcentral is "partial 16S rRNA". It matches the Rfam family "Bacterial small subunit ribosomal RNA", at positions 355 to 511 of the family's 1533-position model. The record is from RNAcentral.